AGAGUUUGAUCAUGGCUCAGAUUGAACGCUGGCGGCAUGCCUAACACAUGCAAGUCGAACGGCAGCAUGAUGAGAUGCUUGCAUCUCAUUGAUGGCGAGUGGCGGACGGGUGAGUAACGCGUAGGAAUCUACCUUUAAGUUGGGGACAACCCGAGGAAACUCGGGCUAAUACCGAAUAGACACUCUAAGGAGGAAAGCUGGGGACCGCAAGGCCUGGCGCUUGAAGAGGAGCCUGCGUACGAUUAGCUAGUUGGUGAGGUAAAGGCUCACCAAGGCGACGAUCGUUAGCUGGUCUGAGAGGAUGACCAGCCACACUGGGACUGAGAGACGGCCCAGACUCCUACGGGAGGCAGCAGUGGGGAAUAUUGGACAAUGGGGGAAACCCUGAUCCAGCGAUGCCGCGUGUGUGAAGAAGGCCUGAGGGUUGUAAAGCACUUUAGUUGGGGAAGAGAUUGUAGAGUUUAAGAGAUACUGCAAGAGACAUGAACCAAAGAAUAAGCACCGGCUAACUCCGUGCCAGCAGCCGCGGUAAUACGGAGGGUGCAAGCGUUAAUCGGAAUAAUUGGGCGUAAAGAGUGCGUAGGUGGUUUGCUAGGUGCGUUGUGAAAGACUCGGGCUUAACCUGGGGGUGUCAACGCAAACGGGCGAACUAGAGUACAGUAGAGGGUUGUGGAAUUUCCGGUGUAGCGGUGAAAUGCGUAGAGAUCGGAAGGAACACCAGUGGCGAAGGCGACAACCUGGGCUGAAACUGACACUGAGGCACGAAAGCGUGGGGAGCAAACAGGAUUAGAUACCCCGGUAGUCC
RNAcentral lists this ribosomal RNA (805 nucleotides) under uncultured bacterium. RNAcentral's name for it is "bacterial SSU rRNA". It matches the Rfam family "Bacterial small subunit ribosomal RNA", at positions 8 to 796 of the family's 1533-position model. The record is from RNAcentral.